Molecule: long non-coding RNA, 1390 nt
Organism: Syngnathoides biaculeatus (alligator pipefish)
Lineage: Eukaryota; Metazoa; Chordata; Actinopteri; Syngnathiformes; Syngnathidae
Exons: 3
Source: RefSeq, a predicted model, not a curated record
CGAAAACAAACGUAAUUGUUUGCCUUCUUCAAAUAAAGCCACACAGAGCCGCAACAACAACAUUUUACGAAGACAUCGACUAAAUGGGCACGUUUUUCUCCUUAUAGGUUUCACGUGCACACUUCGUGACUACAGUCUCGUUUUUGUGGUCGAAGGCUGCACGUUGUGCUGAAAUGAAGGACUUCCAAGCUCCAUUUCAGUUGGAUCUACAAAUAUUCUUUCACCAGAAAAGCGUGAUUAAAUUCUUCUUUCAUAUCUUUUAAAUGGACUUGUGAUACUGGAAUCGUUUUUAUGAUGUUAAAAAUCGGAAGGACCAACUGCAAGCAUUGUCAUAUAAUGGUUUUUAAACACAACCUUCAGUGUCAAGCAUAAUAAUUGUACGAAAGAAUAGCUUUUGUCUGCAGGUAAAUAUUGCUCCUUGAAUAAGGACCGCUGACAACAUUGAAAAAUUGUGAAAUUUAAGAAGAGUGCCCUCCAUCUCUGCGUUAUCUCAUUUUGCUAUGUUAAGGGCAUUGUGAAAUCCGGUGACUGCUGUGAUCCUCCCGUCGUUCAUCCUUCUAGUAAUUGCUGGGAACCUGCACGAUUGUAAAGCAGCACAGCGCUGACCUUCUAAAGCCUCCACCCGACUACACCGCACCUCCGUCCCAGAAUCCAUGGAAGCCAAGGCCAAGUCAGGUCCUUUGCCCAAAGGGCUGUCGAAAGCAGAGAAAAGGGAGCCGGCAGCCCCACGUAAAGCCGAACCUGCCCCCACGACGCCAGAUCCAGAGAUUCCUCCUCCCCAGGAUGAGGCAGCAGAAGGCAACACUGGAGACGGGGCUGCGGCCAGCUGCACAGACUCUCUGGAGCACCUAAAACCUUUCCUCAUCACUGGUGCUGUCAUUGCACUUGGGGCCAUUUUGGUGGGGGCGAUGCUAUUAGCAAGAAGAAAUUAAACGCAGAAUCUCAAAAAGUAGCUCCAUUUAAAAUUGGUUCACAAAUCCUUAUGGUUGAUAUUGAAAAUGGGGAGUUGCUCUUUUUUGCAGGGGGUAGGUGGUUAGUAAACUUAAAAAAAUGCAAGGUUUAUUAGAAACACCAUAUGCAUGACAUUUGAAUUUACAAUCUAUUAAAACUAGACAUUAGGGCUGAGCAUAGAAGACAAAACUUUGUGAGAGGUUUUAUUUUGCUUUAUAUUAUUUGUUCCAGUCUUGACAAAAACCCAGAAUAUUUACAUUAUAAAUGACCUACGUUCAAUUUAAAAAGAACUUUAGAAAAUUGUACUUCUGGACUGAAAAUAAUAUAAUUUAUCACCGAUUCUAGGAUUUUUUUGACUAUGAAAUCCAAGAGCAGACAUGGAAAAAUGCAAUGUUAAAUAAUCAUUGAACGAAGUACAAAUACAAAAUACUUAUGCUGA